GAAAUGCGAUAAGUAAUGUGAAUUGCAGAAUACUGUGAGUCAUCAAAUCCUUGAACGCAAAUUGCGCCUAUUGGCUCACCAAUAGGCACGCCUGUUUGAGUGUCGUUUUCUUAAUCAAAAUGCCUUACUCUUUUUUAGUAGUAGUAGGGUUUUUGGAUGCUGAGCGUUCAAUUCUCCAAGUGAGAAUUUGAUUGCUUGAAAUCGAGUGAUAAAUAGGAGGGGACUGAAUUUCUAUACAUGGAUUACGAACCCUUGUUGAAAUCACUAGCAAGGUUCUCUUUUCCUGUAUGGGUCAGAGCUCCAACUCAUAAGGAAAAAAGUUGCUUUUUAUCUCUAUCGACCUCAAAUCAGGUGAGAUUACCCGCUGAACUUAA
RNAcentral lists this unclassified non-coding RNA (374 nucleotides) under uncultured Acaulospora. RNAcentral describes it as "sequence contains ITS1". The stretch from base 1 to 105 matches the Rfam family "5.8S ribosomal RNA", at positions 50 to 154 of the family's 154-position model. Lineage: Eukaryota; Fungi; Glomeromycota; Glomeromycetes; Diversisporales; Acaulosporaceae. The record is from RNAcentral.